Long non-coding RNA from Athalia rosae (coleseed sawfly), 1166 nucleotides. RefSeq lists it as uncharacterized. The transcript has 3 exons. The record is from RefSeq and is a predicted model, not a curated record. Lineage: Eukaryota; Metazoa; Arthropoda; Insecta; Hymenoptera; Athaliidae.
CCGUGUAUUCUCCUUCGUCUAUUUUGUUGUUGUUAGAUAACGGGGGGAAAAAAGGAGGAAGAUUUUUAUUAAGAGAAGAUGAGAAGAGAAGAAACACCAAAAAACAACAACGGUCAGAUCGGAGUCAGUGAGUCAUCCGGUGGCAGUGCUGUUGUCGAAGGUUGUCAUGACAACGAGAUCAUCGUCGUCAUCGUGCUCGGGGGGGACAAGGGGGGGAGGAUCAAAGUUACAUACGUACGCGGUGAUUAAGAUAACGGUAGUGUACGUAUGCGAGCUACAUCCCUCAGGUAUGCGCAGUGGCGAGUUAGACGGGGUCUACGAAUUGUACAGCAAAGUCGUGAGUUUCGAGAAGAACUUCUCCGGAGUUCAUUUCACUCUUCGUUCUCCAUGAGUCACUCGACCAGACAGGUUGCUACCUGCCUGCUGCUGCUGCUGCUGCUGCUCUUGCUUUUGCUGUUGCUGCUUUAUACUCCUUCGACAUCGAAGAGAAAGAAGGAGGAAAAAAUAAAGAGAGUAAGAAGUGAGAAAGAAAAUAUGUCCAGCCGACGCAAAGGUCUUCCUUGGUUUCCUCACCGCCCUCGCAACCCUCUUUUUCGGCGUCUCUUUUUCUUUUCUCUCAUUUUAUUAUCGUUUUCCUCAUAACCCGCGGAUAUGUUCGCAAGCACCUGACCGGUGUAUCGGAAAAAUUGGCGGAAAUUUUUGUUAUUCUUGAAGGUUUCGCAAAAUAAUGCAAACGACGCGAAAACAACGUUUUUCUCAUUCGUUAAAUAAUGAAGAUGAACGAACGAAUAACAAGAAAACGACCGAGCGGAGAUUUUCUUUUCAUAUUUUUGCAGAUGCGAGGUGUCGAGGUUUGACCUUUAUGCAUUACUUUCGCGCUAACUACAAUCAGCGAUAUUUACCGCACGUGACAAAAACUUCUUUGUAAAAUGACACCCUGCACCGAGUUGAUUGUGUUUCAUUUAUUUAUUCGUCAUUUUGUAUUAUUAUCAUUGUUUUUCCUUGUUUAUCCGUAUACCAUACAUCUUCUACGUGUGAUACGCGAUGAUUUUACGUAAUUAAGUUUAUAAUAAAAUAAUAAACAGCUCGUGUAACUCUCGGUAACAACAAUUGAUUGAAUAAUAAUAUAUACAGCAGCUAAUGAGAUUGUAGAAACAAGAAAACAA